RNAcentral lists this ribosomal RNA (485 nucleotides) under uncultured bacterium. Its description in RNAcentral is "bacterial SSU rRNA". It matches the Rfam family "Bacterial small subunit ribosomal RNA", at positions 28 to 496 of the family's 1533-position model. The record is from RNAcentral.
GAUGAACGCUAGCGGCAGGCUUAAUACAUGCAAGUCGAGGGGCGUCAAGGUACACGAAAGUGUAUUGUUGGCGACCGGCGGACGGGUGAGUAAUAGGUAGGUAACCUACCUCAUACUGAGGCAUAGCUGGGAGAAAUUCCAGGUAAUUCCUCAUGAGGUUAUAUGACACAUGUGAUAUAAUCAAAGGUAUCGCAAGGUACUGGUAUGAGAUGAGCUUACUGACCAUUAGCUAGUUGGUGAGAUAAGAGCUCACCAAGGCGAAGAUGGUUAGGGGUUUUGAGAGAGAGAUCCCCCACAUUGGAACUGAGAUACGGUCCAGACUCCUACGGGAGGCAGCAGUAGGGAAUAUUGGGCAAUGGGCGGAAGCCUGACCCAGCCAUGCCGCGUGAAGGAAGACGGCCUUAUGGGUUGUAAACUUCUUUACUAUGCGACUAACUAGAUUUACGAGAUAAUUCUAUAGAAUGUAGCAUAGCAAAAAGCACCGG